UACGAAGGGGGCUAGCGUUGCUCGGAAUCACUGGGCGUAAAGGGUGCGUAGGCGGGUCUUUAAGUCAGGGGUGAAAUCCUGGAGCUCAACUCCAGAACUGCCUUUGAUACUGAGGAUCUUGAGUUCGGGAGAGGUGAGUGGAACUGCGAGUGUAGAGGUGAAAUUCGUAGAUAUUCGCAAGAACACCAGUGGCGAAGGCGGCGUCCUGGCCUGCGACUGACGCUGUGGCGCGAAAGCUAGGGGAGCGAACGGG
RNAcentral lists this ribosomal RNA (253 nucleotides) under uncultured bacterium. RNAcentral describes it as "partial 16S ribosomal RNA". It matches the Rfam family "Bacterial small subunit ribosomal RNA", at positions 524 to 776 of the family's 1533-position model. The record is from RNAcentral.